This 1327-nucleotide long non-coding RNA is filed under the name Macaca fascicularis (crab-eating macaque). RNAcentral describes it as "lncRNA (ENSMFAG00000047300.1)". Lineage: Eukaryota; Metazoa; Chordata; Mammalia; Primates; Cercopithecidae. The record is from RNAcentral.
ACACACGGUGUGAGGUCAUCGAACUCGAAGGAGGUGGCCAAGGGGAUGAGGCUGUAACCGCAGGCGGGGCUGGCAGGCAGUGUGUGAGAAUGCUGCUGGCUUGGGUCAGGGGUCAGGGUUGAGGGAAGGAAGCAGGAGUACCUUGGCCUUAGCCAGUAGGGCUGAAGAGAUGGGGGUGGGGUGGGGGUGGGGGUGUAGGGCAGCCGAGUCAGUGACACCUGCUUCCCCAGCCUGGAAGGGUGGGCCCUGUAUCGUGGAGUUCCCAGAGAAGACCCAAAAGGAAGGGGCCCUCUCUUGUCUGGAGGCCACACCUGUUAGAGAAGAAAGGCAAGCAGUGAGAGCCCGGGGCACGCUGAACAGGGAGAGCAGAAGCAGAGGUACAGGAGAGUUACAGACUAUGCCCAGGGCUGUGGGGAAGCAGCUUGUUAGACACUGAGCCCACCAGGCUGCGUGGGGCCUCAGACCUUGCCCACAUGGACACCCGGGUCUCAGAUCCAUACACAGCCAUGCAGGCACCAGUCCCUCCUCAUCCUCAGAGACAGGUGCACAUGUGCACCAACUCAGAGACGCCACAGCCAGCUGGGCGUACUCCUUUAGAGGGGCUUGCAGGCCUGGCUUGGAUCCUGGCCCUUUUACAUACUAACUGUGUGACCUUGGGCAAGUGUAAUCUCUCUGAUCCUUAGUCUUCUCUUCCAUAAAACAGGAAUACCACUACUCACAUCAGUGUUGUUAGAGUCCAACAGAUGCUAUAGGGACAGCUGCCCUGGGGAGCAUUCGGGCAAACCCAUCCUAUUUCCCAUAGCUCCAGCCCCACCACUUCGGGCUGCCAGCAUCACAGGAGAGCUCAGGAAGAGUUUAGAGAUACCCUUGCUGUCCCCAGUCUCAGACUAGGUUGCACUGGAGGGAGAGGUAGUCCUAAAAUAAUUCUGCCUCCGGUGGCCUGAGAGUGCUACUCCGCACAGCAGCAUCGUCCAAGAUAAGCAGGACCUGAGUCAUCUAAGCCCUCUGAUUCUGGGGAAACAAUGUCCUCCCAGAAAAGGGAAAACUGUGAUCAUUUUUCCCCCUUCAAGUUCCAUCCGUCCAUCCAUCCAUCCAUCCAUCCGUCCAUCCGUGCAUCUGUCCAUCCGUGCAUCUGUCCAUCCAUCCGUCCGUCCGUCCGUGCGUCCAUCCAUGCGUCAGUCCAUCCAUCCAUCCGUCCAUCCGUCCGUCCGUCCAUCCAUCCGUCUGUCCAUCCAUCCAUCCAUCCAUCUGUCCAUCUGUGCGUCCAUCCAUCCUCCAUCCAGUAAACACCGAGUGCCUUUUCUGAGGCAGAAUUGUAUUACCUGUG